GUUUAAUGCUUCUGUCAGGCAAUAAUGUUUUUCAAUUUUGACAUAUCUGCACAACUUAUCUUGGUUCAUAGCAGCUGUUGUUGAUAGGGUUGCAAUUCAGCCUAGUUAGGGCCCUAACAUAUCCUAGUGUGAGUUUUAGCCAGUGCUAGCCCAAGCUUAAUCUGCAGUUAUGCAGCUGUCUUGCACUUGGUUUAAGUUGUGAAAAAUUGGUUAGGUCAAGUUUGCUUGACUACCAAGAAAAUAAAAUAUAAUCUUAAAUAUUUCUGCAAUGUUAGAAUUUACUAUUAACUCAAUAAGAGUGUGAUGCAUAUUG
Molecule: unclassified non-coding RNA, 313 nt
Filed under: Hevea brasiliensis (rubber tree)
Lineage: Eukaryota; Viridiplantae; Streptophyta; Magnoliopsida; Malpighiales; Euphorbiaceae
Source: RNAcentral